This 718-nucleotide ribosomal RNA is filed under the name Haloarcula sp. BAB-2998. RNAcentral describes it as "bacterial SSU rRNA". It matches the Rfam family "Archaeal small subunit ribosomal RNA", at positions 45 to 763 of the family's 1478-position model. Lineage: Archaea; Methanobacteriati; Methanobacteriota; Halobacteria; Halobacteriales; Haloarculaceae. The record is from RNAcentral.
UUAGCCAUGCUAGUCGCACGAGUUUAGACUCGUGGCAUAUAGCUCAGUAACACGUGGCCAAACUACCCUACAGACCGCAAUAACCUCGGGAAACUGAGGCCAAUAGCGGAUAUAACUCUCAUGCUGGAGUGCAGAGAGUUAGAAACGUUCCGGCGCUGUAGGAUGUGGCUGCGGCCGAUUAGGUAGAUGGUGGGGUAACGGCCCACCAUGCCGAUAAUCGGUACAGGUUGUGAGAGCAAGAGCCUGGAGACGGUAUCUGAGACAAGAUACCGGGCCCUACGGGGCGCAGCAGGCGCGAAACCUUUACACUGCACGACAGUGCGAUAGGGGGACUCCGAGUGUGAGGGCAUAUAGCCCUCGCUUUUCUGUACCGUAAGGUGGUACAAGAAUAAGGACUGGGCAAGACCGAAAAAAAGCCGCCGCGGUAAUACCGGCAGUCCAAGUGAUGGCCGAUAUUAUUGGGCCUAAAGCGUCCGUAGCUUGCUGUGUAAGUCCAUUGGGAAAUCGACCAGCUCAACUGGUCGACGUCCAGUGGAAACUACACAGCUUGGGGCCGAGAGACUCAACGGGUACGUCCGGGGUAGGAGUGAAAUCCUAUAAUCCUGGACGGACCACCAAUGGGGAAACCACGUUGAGAGACCGGACCCGACAGUGAGGGACGAAAGCCAGGGUCUCGAACCGGAUUAGAUACCCGGGUAGUCCUGGCCGUAAACAAUGC